GAAUAAUAUAAAAAAACAACAGUGUGAAGCCAUUGUUGGUGCCCAGUGUGGCAAUGCAGUGUUAAGAGGAGCCCAUGUCUAUGUUCCAGGAAUUGUGUCAGCUUCAAAAUUUAUGAAAGCAGGAGAUGCUAUUUCCAUAUAUUCUGAUAUUAAAGGAAAAUGUAAGAAAGGAGCCAAAGAAUUCAAUGGAACAAAAGUAUUUCUUGGAAAUGGGAUUUCUGAACUGAGCCGCAAAGAAAUCUUCAACGGGCUACCUGAACUGAAAGGUAUAGGUAUAAGAAUGACAGAACCAGUAUAUCUCAGCCCGUCAUUUGAUAAUGUACUGCCCAGUUACCUAUUUUUACAG
This is a long non-coding RNA of Galeopterus variegatus (Sunda flying lemur), 346 nucleotides long. RefSeq lists it as uncharacterized. Lineage: Eukaryota; Metazoa; Chordata; Mammalia; Dermoptera; Cynocephalidae. The record is from RefSeq and is a predicted model, not a curated record. The transcript is spliced from 3 exons.